GCUAGAGCUGUAAGGGAGGAGUGGGCAAAUUUCCAGAGAUAGUGGGACAACAACAUCAGAGCUCAGGGAGGUUCUGUUUACACUCGGAUCUGCUGAAGAGCAGGGAAUUCCUGGCAGAGGACUAAAAAACACAGCAAAAGGCAUCUUCCUGGACAUUCUUUCAUGUGCCCCGCCGUGUGACUGAGGGUCAUUGGAUGCCACCGUUGGGAAACGAGCCUGAUGGACAAAUUUCUGAUUGUGGCUGUCAUUCUGUGCCUGCAGGCCCUGGACUUCUCUGCGAGCUCAGAGGAAGCUGGAGGAGGCCACUAGGCCCUGUAAUAACCACACUUCUCCAUGAUAAACAAGAACCAGAUUCCUGAGCAGUGACGCAGGCAGAGCACUGGCUGGGGCAGCUGUGAUUACACCAAGUGAUCAAAGCAGCAGAAAUAAUACCACUUAGAGCAUCGCCAAGAGGACCGGACGAGAUGAUACAGAUGAAAGCACCUGCUGUGUAAUAACAGCUCACCUUCUCGGAAGCCACUUACCAUGCGUCAGGCCUCAAGUCCUGUUGCUAUCCAAAACUGGACUGUCGAUGGACAAAGCCUCUUUCUUUUGCAAUAUUUUGUUGGCU
Ochotona curzoniae (black-lipped pika) is the source of this 610-nucleotide long non-coding RNA. RefSeq lists it as uncharacterized. Lineage: Eukaryota; Metazoa; Chordata; Mammalia; Lagomorpha; Ochotonidae. The record is from RefSeq and is a predicted model, not a curated record. The transcript is spliced from 5 exons.